Molecule: ribosomal RNA, 301 nt
Filed under: uncultured bacterium
Lineage: Bacteria
Description: partial 16S ribosomal RNA
Rfam family: Bacterial small subunit ribosomal RNA
Source: RNAcentral
CAGUAGCCGCGGUAAUACGAAGGGUGCAAGCGUUAAUCGGAAUUACUGGGCGUAAAGCGUGCGUAGGCGGUUUGUUAAGUCAGAUGUGAAAUCCCCGAGCUUAACUUGGGAACUGCAUUUGAAACUGGCAAGCUAGAGUGUGUCAGAGGAUGGUGGAAUUCCCGGUGUAGCGGUGAAAUGCGUAGAGAUCGGGAGGAACAUCAGUGGCGAAGGCGGCCAUCUGGGACAACACUGACGCUGAGGCACGAAAGCGUGGGGAGCAAACAGGAUUAGAUACCCCCGUAGUCCCUGUCUCUUAUAC